AGCGGGGGAUCGCAAGACCUCGCGCGAUUGGAGCGGCCGAUAUCAGAUUAGGUAGUUGGUGGGGUAAAGGCUCACCAAGCCAACGAUCUGUAGCUGGUCUGAGAGGACGACCAGCCACACUGGAACUGAGACACGGUCCAGACUCCUACGGGAGGCAGCAGUGGGGAAUUUUGGACAAUGGACGCAAGUCUGAUCCAGCCAUUCCGCGUGCAGGAUGAAGGCCCUCGGGUUGUAAACUGCUUUUGUACGGAACGAAAAGGUUUCUAUUAAUACUGGGAGCUCAUGACGGUACUGUAAGAAUAAGCACCGGCUAACUACGUGCCAGCAGCCGCGGUAAUACGUAGGGUGCAAGCGUUAAUCGGAAUUACUGGGCGUAAAGCGUGCGCAGGCGGUUAUGUAACACAGAUGUGAAAUCCCCGGGCUCAACCUGGGAACUGCCUUUGUGACUGCAUAUCUACAGUACGGUAGAGGGGGAUGGAAUUCCGCGUGUAGCAGUGAAAUGCGUAGAUAUGCGGAGGAACACCGAUGGCGAAGGCAAUCCCCUGGACCUGUACUGACGCUCAUGCACGAAAGCGUGGGGAGCA
Molecule: ribosomal RNA, 584 nt
Filed under: uncultured Limnohabitans sp.
Lineage: Bacteria; Pseudomonadati; Pseudomonadota; Betaproteobacteria; Burkholderiales; Comamonadaceae
Description: bacterial SSU rRNA
Rfam family: Bacterial small subunit ribosomal RNA
Source: RNAcentral